CCUACGGGAGGCUGCAGUGGGGGAUAUUGCACAAUGGGCGAAACCCUGAUGCAGCGACGCCGCGUGAGUGAUGACGUCCUUCCGUAUGUAAAGCUCUAUCUGUAGGGAAGUAAAUCACCUUACGUGACCAUCAUUCCCUGUCUAAUUUCGUUCCAGCCGCCGCGGUAACAUGCCGGGGGCAGGCGUUAUCCGGAUUUACUGGGUGUAAAGGGAGCGUAGUCGGUUUUGUAUGUGUGUCGUGAACAUCCCGGGCUCAACCCGGGGAUUGCUGUGGAAACUGUGGCGCUGGAGUACGGGGAGGGCAGGCGGAAUUCCUGGUGUAGCGGUGAAAUGCGUAGAUAUCAGGAAGAACCCCGACGGCGAAGGCAGCCUGCUGGACUGGAACUGACGUUGAGGCUCGAAAGCGUGGGGAGCGAACAGGAUUAGAUACCCCGGUAGUC
RNAcentral lists this ribosomal RNA (440 nucleotides) under uncultured bacterium. RNAcentral's name for it is "partial 16S ribosomal RNA". It matches the Rfam family "Bacterial small subunit ribosomal RNA", at positions 338 to 795 of the family's 1533-position model. The record is from RNAcentral.